AGUAUGGUACAAAAGAUGUUUUUUGACAGAAUUGCCGCGGCCACUCUAACAUUCGACGAAAAGUGAAAGUGUACAAAGUGAAACAUUUACAUAUGUUGUUUCUUUAUUUUUGCAAAUGUCAAAUGGCUGGCCAAGAUGCUGAACUGGGCAAGUUGGCGUUCACCACUUCGCUGGAAAGCUUCUAUCGAGGACAGAAGAAGGACUUCCUGGCGCUGAUGCAAAGCUACAGGAGGCAUCCGAGUACAGAGUGAUCGGUCAUUUAUUGCUAAGUCCUGGAAUAAUUUUUAUAAUUGAUCCGAAAUAUAUAAAAAAUAAAUAUUUACAGCGAUCUUA
Drosophila subpulchrella is the source of this 333-nucleotide long non-coding RNA. RefSeq lists it as uncharacterized. The record is from RefSeq and is a predicted model, not a curated record. The transcript has 2 exons. NCBI's taxonomy places the organism in Eukaryota, Metazoa, Arthropoda, Insecta, Diptera, Drosophilidae.